This 491-nucleotide ribosomal RNA is filed under the name uncultured bacterium. RNAcentral describes it as "bacterial SSU rRNA". It matches the Rfam family "Bacterial small subunit ribosomal RNA", at positions 791 to 1284 of the family's 1533-position model. The record is from RNAcentral.
UAGUCCACGCCGUAAACGAUGGUCACUAGUUGUUGGGGUCUUGUACCUCAGUGAUUAAGAGAAAUUGAUAAGUGACCCACCUGGGGAGUACGAUCGCAAGAAUGAAACUCAAAGGAAUUGACGGGGGCCCGCACAAGCGGUGGAGCAUGUGGUUUAAUUCGGUGAUACGCGAGGAACCUUACCAGGGCUUAAAUGUAUAGUGACAGGGAUAGAGAUAUCUUUUUCUUCGGACACUUUACAAGGUGCUGCAUGGUUGUCGUCAGCUCGUGCCGUGAGGUGUCAGGUUAAGUCCUAUAACGAGCGCAACCCCUGUUGUUAGUUGCCAGCGAGUGAAGUCGGGAACUCUAACAAGACUGCCAGUGCAAACUGUGAGGAAGGUGGGGAUGACGUCAAAUCAUCACGGCCCUUACGUCCUGGGGCUACACACGUGCUACAAUGGUAGGGUACAGAGAGCAGCCACUACGCGAGUAGGGAGCGAAUCUAUAAAACCU